Molecule: long non-coding RNA, 860 nt
Organism: Leopardus geoffroyi (Geoffroy's cat)
Lineage: Eukaryota; Metazoa; Chordata; Mammalia; Carnivora; Felidae
Exons: 6
Source: RefSeq, a predicted model, not a curated record
CCUCUGGAGAUUCUUAAUCACACCAACAAAAAUCUCUUCUGUCAGUCUACCUGUUCUGAGCAUGUUUAGGAUGAUGGAGAAAAUGAUCUUCUGAGAUCUCUUCUACUGUUAAACUUCUAUGAUUUGAAGACUGAGGAUUGAAUAUUGGUUUAUUAAGCACUGGGUCCUAUUGGUACAGCUCAGUCAUUCCUUGACUUGUUUAAAUUAAGUUUAGGAUAUGGAAAGAUGCUGGAAAGAAUAUGUUAAAAAGGAGGAUAAGAACAAAAGUGAGAAGAGGGGUCUGACCACUGAAAAUCUUUGAUGCCAUACAAAAUGAAUCUCUGUAUUCCAGCUUUCUGAAAAUCUUUAGUAGAAACAGAGAUCCUGGACAUUCUUUUUAGACUUGUUUUAAUUCGUGAAAUGUCUUCAUGCCUAAUAGCAAGCAGAAGAAAACCUUGCUCUCCUCCACUGAGAAGACAAGUUAAGAGCAAAACGACCUAUAAUUUUCACCAGAAACGUAGAAACAAGGACACCCAGAGUUCCAGAUCUUUGCCAGCCCAUCACUGUGAAAAAGCAAAGUCAACCCAUAAUCCUAUUACCAUUUCAUUUUUCGAGACCUGUAAAACUUUUUCCUUGCUAUCAAUAAUCACCAACAUUUCUAAAUGCUCCAUUUACUAGAUUCCUAAACUUUUUCUAAGACUAAAGAGUAAAUAACAGUAACAUUUAUAGAACAGAAGUCAUUUAAGUAGUUUUCACAAACGAAUUGACUAAAAUUUUAGCUAGAUUUCUAAGAAAUAUCGUAAAGACACUGUAGCAGAUUGUGUUAUUUUCUGUAAAUAUUUGCAGCCCAUCUCUUGGGAAAGAUUAUACUCCCCCACUUC